Long non-coding RNA from Oxyura jamaicensis (ruddy duck), 1371 nucleotides. RefSeq lists it as uncharacterized. The record is from RefSeq and is a predicted model, not a curated record. Lineage: Eukaryota; Metazoa; Chordata; Aves; Anseriformes; Anatidae. The transcript has 2 exons.
GGUAAUGUAAAUACAUGAAUUUAUGCAAUAACUUCUGUUUUUAGGUACAUUACUAAUUUUUCUAUUUCAUUUUCAUUUUUUUUAAUUCUAUGUCCGUUUCAUUCAGAGUUGAUUCUGUUUGCAUUUCAAAUAAGUGAUGUUACUUGAAAUAGAAUAGAAUAUAAAUAGUUUCAAUUCAAAGGCACCUACAAAAAUCAUCAUACUACUGUGGGGCUGACCCAGUAUUGAAGACUAUCAUUAUGAGCAUUCUCCAAAUGCCUCUUCAACACAGACAGGCACAGGUCAUCAAACAUUUCUGUAGGAAGCCUGUUCCAGUGUCAGUGUCUGACUCCCCUUGCAGUAAAUAAGUUUUUCCUAAUGUGCAGUCUGAACCUCUCGAGCUGCAGAUGUGAGCCAUUACCACAGAUUUUGUCACUUGAUACCAGGGAGAAAAGAUGAGCAGCUCCCUUUCUAUUUCCCCUCCUCAGGAAGGUGUAGAGAGCAGUGAGGUCACCCCUCAACCUACUUUUCUCCAAGCUUAAACCCAGUGUCCUCAGACGCUCUUCACAGGACAUGUCUUCCAGCUCUUUUAGCAGCUUUUUGCCCUUCUCUGGCUACUUUAAAAUAUCUUGAUAUCCUUUUAUAUUGUGGAGCUCGGAACUGCACACAGUAUACAGGGUGAAACCACACCAAUGCUAAAUACAGAUCACCUGUUUUGACCAGCUGGCUAUGCUGUUUUCAACAGCACCUCCCAGUUUAGCAUCACCAGCAAAAAUUCAACUCCUGCAUCCAUAUGAUUGAUAGAAAGCACUGAACAGAACUGGCCCCAGGACUGAGCCUUGGGGAACACCACUAAUGACUGGCUGCCAACCAGAUAUAGCCCCAUUCAAUCUGAGCUCUACCACUCAGCCAGUUCAUCACCCAGUGUAGCAUGAGCCUAUUGAUCUCACAAUUGAAUAAUUCCUCCAGAAGGAUACUGUGAGGGACCGUAUCAAAAGCCCUACUAAAACUGUAUCUACCACCUUGCCUUCCUCCACUGUGUGGACGAUCUUAUCCUAGAAGAGUAUCAAAUUAGUGAGGUAAAACUUCUGUUCAUCAAGCCAUGUUGACUGGGCCUGCUGAUUCCAUUAUCCUUUAAGUACUUUUCAGUGACACACAGGAUAAUCUCCAUAACUUUUCCAGGUUCUGAAGUUAAACUAACAGGUCUAUAAUUUCCAGGAUCUUUUCUCAAGCCCUUCCUUGUAAACUGGGAUAAGGUUGGCUAGUUUCCAGUCAGUGAGGACUUCCUCGGAAUCCCAAGACCUUUGGUAAAUUGUUGAGAGGGGUCCAGCUAUAACAUCCGCUGACUUCCUCAGUACUACAGGAUGAAUCCCAUUAGGCCCAGUGGACUUA